AAGUUAUCUAAAACCCUAAAAUGC
Molecule: non-coding RNA, 24 nt
Filed under: Gossypium hirsutum (cotton)
Lineage: Eukaryota; Viridiplantae; Streptophyta; Magnoliopsida; Malvales; Malvaceae
Source: RNAcentral